UUUGAUCAUGGCUCAGAUUGAACGCUGGUGGCAGGCCUAACACAUGCAAGUCGAGCGGCAUCGAGUGAUCGCAGUUUACUGAGUUCAUGUCGGCGAGCGGCGGACGGGUGAGUAAAGUCUGGGAAUCUGGCCGAAGGAGGGGGAUAACUGCUGGAAACGGCAGCUAAUACCGCAUGAAGUCGCGAGACCAAAGUGGGGGACCUUCGGGCCUCACGCCUUCGGAUGAGCCCAGAUGAGAUUAGCUGGUAGGUAAGGUAAAGGCUUACCUAGGCGACGAUCUCUAGCGGGUCUGAGAGGAUAGCCCGCCACACUGGAACUGAGACACGGUCCAGACUCCUACGGGAGGCAGCAGUGGGGAAUAUUGCACAAUGGGCGAAAGCCUGAUGCAGCCAUGCCACGUGUGUGAAGAAGGCCUUCGGGUUGUAAAGCACUUUCAGCGAGGAGGAAGCGAUAAAUGCGAA
Molecule: ribosomal RNA, 461 nt
Filed under: Candidatus Williamhamiltonella defendens
Lineage: Bacteria; Pseudomonadati; Pseudomonadota; Gammaproteobacteria; Enterobacterales; Enterobacteriaceae
Description: bacterial SSU rRNA
Rfam family: Bacterial small subunit ribosomal RNA
Source: RNAcentral